UGCCAGCCGCCGCGGUAAUACGAAGGUCCCAAGCGUUGUUCGGAAUUACUGGGCGUAAAGCGCACGUAGGCGGAUCAAUAAGUCAGGGGUGAAAUCCCGAGGCUCAACCUCGGAACUGCCUUUGAUACUGUUGGUCUUGAGUUCGAGAGAGGUGAGUGGAAUUCCGAGUGUAGAGGUGAAAUUCGUGGAUAUUCGGAGGAACACCAGUGGCGAAGGCGGCUCACUGGCUCGAUACUGACGCUGAGGUACGAAAGUGUGGGGAGCAAACAGGAUUAGAUA
Molecule: ribosomal RNA, 279 nt
Filed under: uncultured bacterium
Lineage: Bacteria
Description: partial 16S ribosomal RNA
Rfam family: Bacterial small subunit ribosomal RNA
Source: RNAcentral